UGCUAACCUCAAUGCCCUCACCGGUGCUAGGGUUGCUAUCAUCCUAGAGGCGAGCAAUGGUUUUAUGCUCUUUCAGACAAACCAUCCUACAAUGGAUUUCUUGGGAUGGAUGCUUAAUUGGGUUAUGAUGGUACUAAGUAGACAUUCUUCUAUAGGAAAUGGUGAAUGUGUUUAUGCGCAAUAGGAAUCUUCUUCCAGUGAGCAAGAUGUUGAUGCUUCGGUGCAAUCUGAAGGACUUAGUUAGAAGCUAGUUAGACUUACAUUUUAGUUCUAUAUCGGAAUGAAAGCUAGUUACAUUACCACCUGGAAAAUGUUACCAUUUGGAGAUUUUACUAAGCCCCUUCCAGGCAAUAAUAUACAUGUUCAGUGUUAUAGGUCUUGGAACAUGGAAGUUUUUUUUGUAUGUGCCACUUCAUAUUUUCAUUAUAAUCAAAUAUUUUAUUUUCUUUUUGAGAUGUUAUGUAUCUUAUGGGUGAAGGAAGAGGAAACCUUGAUUUAUAAUACCACCCCUCUUAGCAUAUUAUGAUCCAACCAUUAGUAAUUAACAGAAAAUGGGAGCUAUGCGGAGUAACUAACUAAAAGGUAGCACAAGUUCAGAUUUCCACUCAAGCGACAAGCAUCAAUUGCUUUAAUUGCAUAAGAGUAUGAAAAAUAUGAACAACUCAAUAUGAGAUUCAUUUGAAAUCACGGUAAAUCAAUGUUUUAUUAAUAGAUGCCAAUGAUUUAUUGUCAUUAAAUUAAAACCAUAGUAUACCUGCGAGGACAUGGCGGCCACCUAAUUCUCCAUUUCAGUUCCAGUAGCAAGAAACAACAAAUUUAUGAAAUGAAUCUACUUUUGUUACCUUCGUUAGUUUUUAUCCUUGAAUAAAAAGUGAUUUUUUUUGUAAUGAUAUUGCUCAUCUAAUUAAUAAAUUAGACCCUCGGCAGGUUGCAUUAUGCAAUUGUUCUAAUCUUCUCACCGUUGACAGAGCAUGGUGCCCCAAUGUUUGGUUUUUGUAAUUGAUGACAAUGUCAGGACCGGAUUUUCGGGAUAUUAGUUUCCAGAAAAUGGCCCUUGUGCUCACCAGCCCCAGGAUUACUUUUAGCUGAUGAGGCACCAACUUGAUACAGAAAUUCCAAGCAAAAUACAUAAUAUGUAGUACAAGACCAUUCUGGCCUAUGAGUACAACAAAUGGUUUCCAGUGGUUGAUGGCGGAAGCGGUUUGUGGAUCAUCAGCGUCUAUGGGACUCCAAUUCCCACAUGAACAGCUGCCAGGUUAACUCCUAUCUUCGCGAGGCUGCUAUCACCGUUGCUUAGGUUCCGGGGCUGUCAUCGCAACGCUCCUCUCCAAGCAAGAAAUCUGGCCAAGACAAUAGCCAGGGACAAGCCAGUGAGUACUUUUGAAUGUACUCGCAAACAUUAUGAACACGGGUAUGAUAUAACAACCAAUAAUCAUACUCUAAAAUAUUCUAUGCUCACAACGUCCGUCAUAAAAAUAAUAUCCCUGAUACAUGCAAGCAGGUUAUUUAUGUAAAACAUGAAUAUGCAAUCAGAGAGUAAAAAUAAAAUGCACCGAGCGGGUGUCUGAAGCGACGCCUCGAAAGGAUAAUAAUAUAAGGCAUGCCUCAGUCGGGCGUCUGCGCGACACCACAUACAUGGCUUAUAAAGUAAAUAAAUAAUGAGCAUGCCACAGUCGGGCGUCUGAGAGACACCACAUAAAGGGCUUAUAAGGUAAACAAUAAGAAUGCCACAGUCGGGCGUCUGAGCGACACCACAUAAAGGGCUUAUAAGGUAAACAAUAAGAAUGCCACAGUCAGGCGUCUGAGCGACACCACAUAAAGGGCUUAUAAGGUAAACAAUAAGAAUGCCACAGUCGGGCGUCUGAGCGACACCACAUAAAGGGCUUAUAAGAAAACAAUCACAGUGAAUAUCCAGGAGGUAGAACCGUCCCAGAAUAAUCCCAGUAAUAUGGUGGGUAAGUCCAUAAUAGUAAUAAUCCCAAUCAUCAUAGUCAACACAAGUCACAGGUCAUGAUCCAUGUUCUGGUUUAGCAGUUUCUCCUCCGAAGACCGACACUUGACCAAACCCAGACUGUAGUCCUUAACCAUGGACAUGGCUAUUCGAAUAGAUUUAACCUCUGCAAACGGUGUACUCUUUACCCACGAGUAACGGAUUCCUUUAGUCCAUCGGGACUAAUUCCGUCUACGGCCUUUUAAUAGAAAACACACCUGACUUGCACACACCAGCUUAACUUACCAGUGUCUGGAAUCACCCACGACACCUGUCAAGCAAAAACUCUAAGUGGGGAGGCUACAACCUCGCGUAGCAUGGGAUCAAAUUCAUAUCGCACACUCUAAGUGGUGCCCCCCUCUCGGUCCCAUCCGAAAACACCCAUGCCCCCGGACCAGGUGGCCUGCCUACCAGCUGCAGUCGGUAUCUUCCACCAUGGCCUCUCUGUACGGUGUGUGCUAGAAAGGGGUUGACAGACAACUUACUGUACCGUACCCUACCUGCUGUAGGGACAAGUGGUAGUACGAAACAAGUAUGGGGGUUACUGGAACAAGACUCGAUCUAUGGCCGACUCAGGAAGUUUAAGUAUUCCCAGCAUGAUUAGCUUAAUGAAUAUAUUUCAUCCAACAGACAGGAUCACCACUCAUCAUACCCCAUCAUGCCAUACCGGACACACUCGUCUCGACGAGGAACUAGGGACAAGCUCGGGUCUACCCAAGAUAGAGACUUUCCAGUUUUCCUUCUGGUAGGCGCGAAGGGCAUACGAGGAUGAUCACUAUCACAAGCAUGUCCAUUUCCAACAGCAAGGAAAUCCCCAAUAUGCAUUCAUGCAAAUGAUCGCGUCACCACAUAAAAUAACGAGUUCUCCGUAUUAAGGUGGUGUUAUAAUCAUGUCAACUAACACACAAAAAUAUUAUGCCAGGGUUCAGAAUGCUUGCCUUCAAGGGUAUGCAAGUGGGGUGUGCCUUUUGAAAGUUGACUUCUUCUCCAAAAACCUAUUUUUGAAAAUAUUCAAAUUAACACAUACUUUAAAAACUGUACAAAAACGUUGCUUGGAAAAUUUUCAAAUAAAUAUGAAAAUAAACUAGACAAUAUUUGGGAAACAACAGAAAAAGAAUCAAGUCAUUUGGAUUUAUAUCUAAAAAGUUAUAGCCUAUCAAAGUUUAGUCAACUUUCUGUUUUUAAAAUAAAUCUGAAAAAAAGAAAAACGUUUCGAAAAGGGUACACGUCGAAGACGUACUUUGGGAAUAUGCCUCCACUUAAAACACGUGGUGGCGGGGUUGGGUCACUGACAGUGGGUCCAGCGGCCCCACUGGUCAGGUUUGACUAGUCCCCCGCCUUCUUCCUCCUCUGUCCGAGCCGAGGCGGGGGCUCCGGCGAUCGACGCUGGCGAACGGCAGCUCCUCGCGGGGCUCUGAGGGCGAGGAUGGAUCCGCCACUCCCAGGUGGUCCUCCCGGUGGUUGAGAGGGUGGCGGGGACGAAGGGAGUCGCCGGCGGUGAGCCUUGCGGUGGACGGCAGCUUCGGGAGGUUUGGGGGUUUGGGUUAUGGUGCUUCCCGAUCGACGCUGAGAGGGUGGGUGGCUCCGCACGGUUGGGGGGAGAAGGAUGGAAGCACGGGAGGGGUUUGGGGGCCUCGGUCUUGACCGGAUUUCACCGGAGUGUGGCGGCGGCCGAACCUGUCGGGGACGAGGAAGAUGGCCGUCAUUCGCCGAUUGCUGGCUACGGGGGGGCUCUAGGGGGGGUGGCUCGAGGCUGCCUGAGUGCUGGGACGAGCUCGGGGUCCCCUUUUAUAGUGCAACGAGGUCGGUUCCGCGGCGGCAGUGGAUAGGGACGCCGGCGAACCGCUUUUCUGUAGCUAGGGGUGAGGUGGAGAUGCUUGGAGCUGGUCGGCGCACUCCGACGAACUCCACACUGCUCAAGAGGCGAGCUGGCUCUCGUGUGUGGCUCGGGCGGCGCCGUCCAGGGCAGAGGUUGUCGGGGCGGCGGUGGCGACAUGCAGUGGUGAUGCUGUGGUGCGCCAGGAGGGGGGGCCAGGGUGGCUCUACAGCGAGGGAGGGGUCGGGACGCUGGCUGCGAGUGGAAGGGGCCAGAACGGGAGCGGGGGAGGCGGCAGCGGGAGGUGGCGGCUUGGGCGCACACACGUGCAAAACGCGCGCUCUGGGCGCGCCCAGAGCACGCACGUGACGUGCUCGACAAAAUGACAGGGUGACCUAGAGUGCUUGAGCGAGGCUGGCAAAUAACCGGACUAGGUUAGAGUCUGCAAGAAAGUUAGUGGACAAACUGGUUUGUCCAGAGGUGCAAGGUCACAGUGCAAAGGCAAAAAUCAUGUCAAAACUGCCCAUGCACUUAAGGUAUUUGACAAAAUGCCAAUGGCAUCUAGGCAACUCUUGGGGUGGCCAAAUAUUCCAGAUCAAAGUCUAUUUAGAUGUAGGAGAGGAUGGCAAGUUUAGUUGGCCAAAUGUAGAAACUUGUUAGUGUAAGUUUUGCAAAACUCCAGUUCUGGACAGAAGGAAAAGGGUAUAAUAUCAUGUACCAAAAAUGCUCCAAUGAGUCCAACCUCCUGGACUUAAGGGUUUGCUAGGGUGGUCUACAAUCAGGAGAAAGAAUCAAGGGAAAAAGAGCAAGCAAAAACAUGGUUGCAAUACAAAUCACCAAGUUGAACCAGAAUGCAAAUGAGGAUGAUUCACUCAAUUUUUUCAAAGAGCAUCAAUGGGUUCUUGCAUAAAGAUGAAUAAUAUACUCCUAUUAACACCCCAUAAUUUUCGUGGAAGUUUUAAAGAAAUAUUUAAUUAGGUUGUAAUGCAAAAUUGCCCAAUGGACCAGAUUUGAAAAUUUGAUGUAGAGCUCAAAAUAUCGAAAAAAUGAUAUAUAAUUUUGCAUAAAAGUGAUUUAAAAACAUCACAUGACAUCCCCAAAUUUUGGUGGGAUUUUUAAAUGAAUUUAUAAAAGGGUUGCAGUUCAAAUGGGACCCUAAAAUUUAUGAAAAACCCUUUUGGAGGAAUAAAGCUCAGGAAAAAUAAUUAUAUAAAUAAUCCUACUGAUAAAAGAAUUGUUUUAUUUGAGAGGGUAACUAAGUCCAAUAAUGUUUGAAACUUUUUCACUUGGGGUAAAAACCUCAUAAAAAUAAAGAAAAGAAUGGUUCUGAAAUCAACAGGAAAUCUAGAAAAUAAAAGUUUAAGUUUCCUGGCAAAAUUUUAAUAAAUAAAACAUGGUUAAAUUUUUGGGGUGUCACAACACUACCCCCCUUAAGAAAAAUCUCGUCCUCGAGAUUUGUUAAGAGUUGUUUUCGAAAAUAUCAUUCCUGUUAGUUGAAACCAAAAGGUUUACUCAUAGUACAAACCUUGUGUCGUCAAGGUUGGUUUUUGGCAGCUACGUCCGAGGUUAAAAAUGCAAUCUCACAUCGACAUACUCAUGCAUGGCUACUAUUUAAAAUAGGGCGCACAAGCAACAGUAUUUAAUUACGGCGAUACAGGGUCACACAGUUACAAGGCGAGGACAUGCUAAGACUUGGUACUACUCGAGCGACUCUAGUCUACCUCGUUAAUAUCUAAGCGGGCGUGCCUUGCGGACGUCGAGGCUUCACCACGGUUUUCACCGUCGGGAUUAGCUGGAGGGGGUUGAGGGGCUACAGGGUCGGGGUAGCGAUGAUGACCAUUCCGGGGAUUGUUGGCCACAAUCCCGUUGGAAUGUGUUCCCAAAAGGCGACGAAGCACUUCUGGGGCCAUCAAGGUAUUAUGGUCGAUGGCUGGGGCAGACCUCAAGGACUCGAUCGGUUGUCCGAACAGCACGACUGGGCUAUCGGUGCCGGACUCCUCUUCUCCUCUUGCUGGGGCUCGGCGGGUCAGUUCUCCACGAGCUGCGAUCAGAUCAAGGGUGAUUUGAUCGAACAGUCCCUCUAGUACACAUAGCCUACCAGAUGCAAUAAUGCAGGAUCCAUCUCGUGGUCUCUGUUGGCAACUUGGGGUGGUCUACCAUAUCCGACACGGCUGGGGUAGUAGUAGAACGAGCGGCAGUUGACUCUGGGCGACAAGUGCCGGAGUUGAACUAUAGCCUCUCGAGCAGCUAGUUGGAUGGCUUGUGGCUCAAAGGAAGUUGUCCUUCCGGUGAACCUGUAGGGGCGUUCUGGCGAUAGACCCCUACCGUAGACGUGCAUAGUGGCCCAGAAUUGACGGCUCUCACCGCUCAUGGGUCCUUGGUACACAACAUAUUCUGGGGGCUCUUCUAACGCGAAGGCACGGCGGGUGAGGUUUGCUAGCACGGUCACAAAACCUCCAAGGUUGGUUGCCGUGGUCUCAUUGUGAACAAUGGGUCCUGGCAUUUUAGCUUGGUUUGGGCAGAGGUUGUGCUGUGCUAGGUUGGGGCUAGCGUGCCCUUUUUAUAAAAAAAAGAACGGAGUCUUCCUUCGCACGCUUGCGAAUGAGAUAAUUUUGGUGUCGGUCACUGGCGCGUGAUCGACAGGCUAGGCUGAUAGGUUGGGCACCGACUGCCAAAAAGGUGUCGAUCACUGUGUGGCUAUCUUACACGAGAAGCUUGGCCGGAGUUAGGUUAAGGCCUGGUGGGUUGGUUUACCUAGGUUUUUUUUUACCUGUCUAAGAUAGGAUUAGCCAAUGGUCAGCCUGGCUCUGAUACCAAGUUUGUCAGGACCGGAUUUUCGGGAUAUUAGUUUCCAGAAAAUGGCCCUUGUGCUCACCAGCCCCAGGAUUACUGUUAGCUGAUGAGGCAACAACUUGAUAUAGAAAUUCCAAGCAAAAUACAUAAUAUGUAGUACAAGACCUUUCUGGCCUAUGAGUACAACAAAUGGUUUCUAGUGGUUGAUGGCGGAAGCGGUUUGUGGAUCAUCAGCGUCUAUGGGACUCCAAUUCCCACAGGAAUAGCUGACCUGGUUAACUCCUAUCUUCGUGAGGCUGCUAUCACCGUUGCUUAGGUUCCGGGGCUGUCAUCGCAACGCUCCUCUCCAAGCAAGAAAUCUGGCCAAGACAAUAGCCAGGGACAAGCCAGUGAGUACUUUUGAAUGUACUCGCAAACAUUAUGAACAUGGGUAUGAUAUAACAACCAAUAAUCAUACUCUAAAAUAUUCUAUGCUCACAACGUCCGUCAUAAAAAUAAUAUCCAUGAUACAUGCAAGCAGGUUAUUUACGUAAAACAUGAAUAUGCAAUCAGAGAGUAAAAAUAAAAUGCACCGAGCGGGUGUCUGAAGCGACGCCUUGAAAGUAUAAUAAUAUAAGGCAUGCCUCAGUCGGGCGUCUGCGCGACACCACAUACAUGGCUUAUAAAGUAAAUAAAUAAUGAGCAUGCCACAGUCGGGCGUCUGAGCGACACCACAUAAAGGGCUUAUAAGGUAAACAGUAAGAAUGCCACAGUCGGGCGUCUGAGCGACACCACAUAAAGGGCUUAUAAGGUAAACAAUAAGAAUGCCACAGUCGGGCGUCUGAGCGACACCACAUAAAGGGCUUAUAAGGUAAACAAUAAGAAUGCCACAGUCGGGCGUCUGAGCGACACCACAUAAAGGGCUUAUAAGAAAACAAUCACAGUGAAUAUCCAGGAGGUAGAACCAUCCCAGGGAUACUCAAUAAUCCCAGUAAUAUGGUGGGUUAGUCCAUAAUAAUAAUAAUCACAAUCAUCAUAAUCAACACAAGUCACAGGUCAUGAUCCAUGUUCUGGUUUAGCAGUUUCUCCUCCGAAGACCGACACUAAGACCGACACUUGACCCAACCCAUACUGUAGUCCUUAACCAUGGACACGGCUAUUCGAAUAGAUUUAACCUCUGCAGAGGGUGUACUCUUUACCCACGAGUAACGGAUUCCUUAAGUCCAUCGGGACUAAUUUCGUCUACGGUCUUUUAAUUGAAAACACACCUGACUUGCACGCAACAGCUUAACUUACCGGUGUCUGGAAUCACCCACGAAACCUGUCAAGCAAAAACUCUAAAUGUGGAGGCUACAACCUCACAUAGCAUGGGAUCAAAUUUAUAUCACGCGCUCUAAGGGGUGCCCCCCCCUCUCGGUCCCAGCCGGAAACACCCAUGCCCCCGGACCAGGUGGCCUGCCUACCGGCUACACUCGGUAUCUUCGACCAUGGCCUCUCUGUACGGUGUGUGCUAGAAAGGGGUUGACAACUUACUAAACCAUACCCUACCUACUGUAGGGACAAGUGGUAGUACGAAACAAGUAUGGGGGUUACUGGAACAAGACUCGAUCUAUGGCCGACUCAGGAGGUUUAAGUAUUCCCUGCAUGAUUAGCUUAACGAAUAUAUUUCAUCCAACAGACAGGAUCACCACUCAUCAUACCCCAUCAUGCCGUACCGGACACACUCGUCUCGAAGAGGAACUACGGACAAGCUCGGGUCUACCCAAGACAGAGACUUUCCCGUUUUCCUUUCGGUAGGCGCGAAGGGCAUACGAGGAUGAUCACUAUCACAAGCAUGUCCAUUUCCAACAGCAAGGAAAUCCCCAAUAUGCAUUCAUGCAAAUGAUCGCGUCACCACAUAAAAUAAUGAGUUCUCCGUAUUAAGGUGGUGUUAUAAUCAUGUCAACCAACACACAAAAAUAUUAUGCCAGGGUUCAGAAUGCUUACCUUCAAGGGUAUGCAAGUGGGGUGUGCCUUUUGAAAGUUGACUUCUUCUUCCAAAACCUAUUUUCGAAAAUAUUCAAAUUAGCACAUACUUUAAAAACAGUACAAAAAAGUUGCUUGGAAAAUUUUCAAAUAAAUAUGAAAAUAAACUAGACAAUAUUUGGGAAACAACAGAAAAAGAAUCAAGUCAUUUGGAUUUAUAUCUAAAAAGUUAUAGCCUGUCAAACUUUAGUCAACUUUCUGUUUUUAAAAUAAAACUGAAAAAAAAAGAAAAACGUUUCGAAAAGGGUACACAUCGAAGUCGUACUUUGGGAAUACGCCUCCACUUAAAACACGUGGUGGCGGGGCUGGGUCACUGACACUGGGUCCAGCGGCCCCACUGGUCAGGUUUGACUAGUCCCCCGCCUUCUCCCUCCUCUCUCCGAGCCGAGGCGGGGGCUCCGACGAUCGACGCCGGCGAACGGCGGCUCCUCGCGGGGCUCUGAGGGCGGGGAUGGAUCCGCCACUCCCGGGCGGUCCUCCCGGUGGUCGAGAGGGUGGCGGGAAUGAAGGGAGUCGCCGGCGGCGAGCCUUGCGGCGGACGGCAGCUUCGGGAGGUUUGGGGGUUUGGGUUAUGGUGCUUCCCGAUUGACGCUGAGAGGGUGGGUGGCUCUGCACGGUUGGGGGGAGAAGGAUGGAAGCACGGGAGGGGUUUGGGGGCCUCGGUCUUGGCCGGAUUUCACCGGAGUGUGGCGGCGGCCGAACCUGUCAGGGAUGAGGAAGAUGGCCGUCAUUCGCCGAUUGCUGGCUACGGGAGGGCUCUAGGGGGGUGGCUCGAGGCUGCCUGAGUGCUGGGACGAGCUCGGGGUCCCCUUUUAUAGUGCAACGAGGUUGGUUCCGCGGCGGCAGUGGAUCGGGACACCGGCGAACCGCCGUUCUGUAGCUAGGGGCGACGUGGAGGUGGUUGGAGCUGGUCGGCGCACUCCGACGAACUCCACACUGCUCAAGGGGCGAGCUGGCGCGCGUGUGUGGCUCGGGCGGCGCUAUCCAGGGCAUAGGUUGUCGGGGCGGCGGUGGCGGCCUGCGGUGGUGAUGUUGUGGUGCGCCAGGAGGGGGGGCCAGGGUGGCUCUGCGGCGAGGGAGGGGUCGGGACGCUGGCUGCGAGUGGAAGGGGCCAGAACGGGUGCGGGGGAGGCGGCAGCGGGACGCGGCGGCUCGGGCGCACGCACGUGCAAAACGCGCGCUCUGGCCGCGCCCAGAGCACGCACGCGACGUGCUCGACAAAAUGCCAGGGUGACCUAGAGUGCUUGAGCGAGGCUGGCAAAUAACCGGACUAGGUUAGAGUCUGCAAGAAAGUUAGUGGACAAACUGGUUUGUCCAGAGGUGCAAGGUCACAGUGCAAAGGCAAAAAUCAUGUCAAAACUGCCCAUGCACUUAAGGUGUUUGACAAAAUGCCAAUGGCAUCUAGGCAACUCUUGGGUGGCCAAAUAUUCCAGAUCAAAGUCUCUUUAGAUGUAGGAGAGGAUGGCAAGGUUAGUUGGCCAAAUCUAGAAACUUGUUAGUGUAAGUUUUGCAAAAGUCUAGUUCUGGACAGAAGGAAAAGGGUAUAAUAUCAUGUACCAAAAAUGCUCCAAUGAGUCCAACCUCCUGGACUUAAGGGUUUGGUAGGGUGGUCUAGAAUUAGGAGAAAGAAUCAAGGGAAAAAGAGCAAGCAAAAAUAUGGUUGCAAUACAAAUCACCAAGUUGAACCAGAAUGCAAAUGAGGAUGAUUCACUCAAUUUUCUCAAAGAGCAUCAAUGGGUUUUUGCAUAAAGAUGAAUAAUAUACUCCUAUUAACACCCCAUAAUUUUGGUGGAAGUUUUAAAGAAAUAUUUAAUUAGGUUGUAGUGCAAAAUUACCCACUGGACCAGAUUUGAAAAUUUGAUGUAGACCUCAAAAUAUCCAAAGAAUGAAAUAUAUUUUUGCAUAAAAGUGAUUUAAAAACAUCACAUGACAUCCCCAAAUUUUGGUGGGAUUUUUAAAUGAAUUUAUAAAAGGGUUGCAGUUCAAAUGGGACCCUAAAAUUUAUGAAAAACCCUUUUGGAGGAAUAAAGCUCAGGAAAAAUAAUUAUAUAAAUAAUCCUACUGAUAAAAGAAUUGUUUUAUUUGAGAGGGUAACUAAGUCUAAUAAUGUUUGAAACUUUUUCACUUGGGGUAAAAACCUCAUAAAAAUAAAGAAAAGAAUGGUUCUGAAAUCAACAGGAAAUCUAGAAAAUAAAAGUUUAAGUUUCCUGGCAAAAUUUUAAUAAAUAAAACAUGGUUAAAUUUUUGGGGUGUCACAACACUACCCCCCUUAAGAAAAAUCUCGUCCUCGAGAUUUGUUAAGAGUUGUUUUCGAAAAUAUCAUUCCUGUUAGUUGAAACCAAAAGGUUUACUCAUAGUACAAACCUUGUGUCGUCAAGGUUGGUUUUUGGCAGCUACGUCCGAGGUUAAAAAUGCAAUCGCACAUCGACAUACUCAUGCAUGGCUACUAUUUAAAAUAGGGCGCACAAGCAACAGUAUUUAAUUACGGCGAUACAGGGUCACACAGUUACAAGGCGAGGACAUGCUAAGACUUGGUACUACUCGAGCAACUCUAGUCUACCUCGUUAAUAUCUAAGCGGGCGUGCCUUGCGGACUUCGAGGCUUCGCCACGGUUUUCACCAUCGGGAUUAGCUGGAGGGGGUUGAGGGGCUGCAGGGUCGGGGUAGCGAUGAUGACCAUUCCGGGGAUUGUUGGCCACAAUCCCGUUGGAAUGUGUUCCCAAAAGGCGACGAAGCACUUCUGGGGCCAUCGAGGUAUUAUGGUCGAUGGCUGGGGCAGACCUCAAGGACUCGAUCGGUUGUCCGAACAGCACGACUGGGCUGUCGGUGUCGGGCUCCUCUUCUCCUCUUGCUGGGGCUCGGCGGGUCAGUUCUCCACGAGCUGCGAUCAGAUCAGGGGUGAUUUGAUCGAACAAUCCCUCUAGUACACAUAGCGUACCAGAUGCAAUAAUGCAGGAUCCGUCUCGUGGUCUCCGUUGGCAACUUGGGGUGGUCUACCAUAUCCGUCACGGCUGGGGUAGUAGUAGAACGAGCGGUAGUUGACUCUGGGCGACAAGUGUCGGAGUUGAACUAUAGCCUCUCGAGCAGCUAGUUGGAUGGCUUGUGGCUCAAAGGAAGUUGUCCUUCCGGUGAACCUGUAGGGGCGUUCUGGCGAUAGACCCCUACCGUAGACGUGCACAGUGGCCCAGAAUUGACGGCUCUCACAGCUCAUGGGUCCUUGGUACACAACAUAUUCUGGGGGCUCUUCUAUCGCGAAGGCACGGCGGGUGAGGUUUGCUAGCACGGUCACAAAACCUCCAAGGUUGGUUGCCGUGGUCUCAUUGUGAACAAUGGGUCCUGGCAUUUUAGCUUGGUUUGGGCAGAGGUUGUGCUGUGCUGGGUUUGGGCUAGCAUGCCCUUUAUUAAAAAAAAGGACGGAGUCUUCCUUCGCACGCUUGCGAAUGACAUAAUUUUGGUGUCGGUCACUGGCGCGUGAUCGACAGGCUAGGCUGAUAGGUUGGGCACUGACUGCCAAAAAGGUGACGGUCACUGUGUGGCUAUCUUACACGAGAAACUUGGCCGGGGUUAGGUUAAGGCCUGGUGGGUUGGUUUACCUAGGUUUUUUUUGACCUGUCUAAGAUAGGAUUAGCCAAUGGCCAGCCUGGCUCUGAUACCAAGUUUGUAAGGACCGGAUUUUUGGGAUAUUAGUUUCCAGAAAAUGGCCCUUAUGCUCACCAGCCCCAGGAUUACUGUUAGCUGAUGAGGCAACUACUUGAUACAGAAAUUCCAAGCAAAAUACAUAAUAAGUAGUACAAGACCAUUCUGGCCUAUGAGUACAACAAAUGGUUUCUAGUGGUUGACGGCGGAAGCGGUUUGUGGAUCAUCAGUGUCUAUGGGACUCCAAUUCCCACAGGAACAGCAGACCAGGUUAACUUAUCUUCGUGAGGCUGCUAUCACCGUUGCUUAGGUUCCCGGGCUGUCAUCACAACGCUCCUCUCCAAGCAAGAAAUCUGGCCAAGACAAUAGCCAGGGACAAGCCAGUGAGUACUUUUGAAUGUACUCGCAAACAUUAUGAACACGGGUAUGAUAUAACAACCAAUAAUCAUACUCUAAAAUAUUCUAUGCUCACAACGUCCGUCAUAAAAAUAAUAUCCCUGAUACAUGCAAGUAGGUUAUUUAUGUAAAACAUGAAUAUGCAAUCAGAGAGUAAAAAUAAAAUGCACCGAGCGGGUGUCUGAAGCGACGCCUCGAAAGGAUAAUAAUAUAAGGCAUGCCUCAGUCGGGCGUCUGCGCGACACCACAUACAGGGCUUAUGAAGUAAAUAAAUAAUGAGCAUGCCACAGUCGGGCGUCUGAGCGACACCACAUAAAGGGCUUAUAAGGUAAACAAUAAGAAUGCCACAGUCGGGCGUCUGAGCGACACCACAUAAAGGGCUUAUAAGGUAAACAAUAAGAAUGCCACAGUCGGGCGUUUGAGCGACACCACAUAAAGGGCUUAUAAGAAAACAAUCACAGUGAAUAUCCAAGAGGUAGACCCGUCCUAGGGAUACUCAAUAAUCCCAGUAAUAUGGUGGGUUAGUCCAUAAUAAUAAUAAUCACAAUCAUCAUAAUCAACACAAGUCACAGGUCAUGAUCCAUGUUCUGGUUUAGCAGUUUCUCCUCCGAAGACCGACACUAAGACCGACACUUGACCCAACCCAUACUGUAGUCCUUAACCAUGGACAUGGCUAUUCGAAUAGAUUUAACCUCUGCAGAGGGUGUACUCUUUACCCACGAGUAACGGAUUCCUUUAGUCCAUCGGGACUAAUACCGUCUACGGUCUUUUAAUUGAAAACACACCUGACUUGCACACACCAGCUUAACUUACCGUUGUCUCGAAUCACCCACGACAUCUGUCAAGCAAAAACUCUAAGUGUGGAGGCUACAACCUCGCAUAGCAUGGGAUCAAAUUUAUAUCGCGCGCUCUAAGGGGUGCCCCCCUCUCGGUCCCAACCGGAAACACCCAUGCCGCCGGACCAAGUGGCCUGCCUACCGGCUGUAGUCGGUAUCUUCCACCAUGGCCUCUCUGUACGGUGUGUGCUAGAAAGGGGUUGACAACUUACUGAACCGUACCCUACCUGCUGUAGGGACAAGUGGUAGUAUGAAACAAGUAUGGGGGUUACUGGAACAAGACUCGAUCUAUGGCCGACUCAGGAGGUUUAAGUAUUCCCUGCAUGAUUAGCUUAACGAAUAUAUUUCAUCCAACAGACAGGAUCACCACUCAUCAUACCCCAUCAUGCCAUACCGGACACACUCGUAUCGACGAGGAACUAGGGAUAAGCUCGGGUCUACCCAAGACAGAGACUUUCCCGUUUUCCUUCCGGUAGGCGCGAAUGGCAUACGAGGAUGAUCACUAUCACAAGCAUGUCCAUUUCCAACAGCAAGGAAAUCCCCAAUAUACAUUCAUGCAAAUGAUCGCGUCACCACAUAAAAUAACGAGUUCUCCGUAUUAAGGUGGUGUUAUAAUCAUGUCAACCAACACACAAAAAUAUUAUGCCGGGGUUCAGAAUGCUUACCUUCAAGGGUAUGCAAGUGGGGUGUGCCUUUUGAAAGUUGACUUCUUCUUCAAAUACCUAUUUUCAAAAAUAUUCAAAUUAACACAUACUUUAAAAACAGUACAAAAAAGUUACUUGGAAAAUUUUCAAAUAAAUAUGAAAAUAAACUAGACAAUAUUUGGGAAACAGCAUAAAAAGAAUCAAGUUAUUUGGAUUUAUAUCUAAAAAUUAUAGCCUGUCAAAGUUUAGUCAACUUUCUUUUUUUAAAAUAAAACUGAAAAAAAAGAAAAACGUUUCGAAAAGGGUACACGUCGAAGACGUACUUUGGGAAUACGCCUCCACUUAAAACACGUGGUGGUGGAGCUGGGUCACUGACACUGGGUCCAGCGGCCCCACUAGUCAGGUUUGACUAGUCCCCCGCCUUCUUCCUCCUCUGUCCGAGCCGAGGCGGGGGCUCCGGCUAUCGACGCCGGCGAACGGCGGCUCCUCGCGGGGCUCUAAGGGCGGGGAUGGAUCCGCCACUCCCGUGCGGUCCUCCCGGUGGUCGAGAGGGUGGCGGGGACGAAGGGAGUCGCCGGCGGCGAGCCUUGCGGCGGACGGCAGCUUCGGGAGGUUUGGGGGUUUGGGUUAUGGUGCUUCUCGAUCGACGCUGAGAGGGUGGGUGGCUCUGCACGGUUGGGGGGAGAAGGAUGGAAGCACAGGAGGGGUUUGGGGGCCUCGGUCUUGGCCGAAUUUCACCGGAGUGUGGCGGCGGCCGAACCUGUCGGGGACGAGGAAGAUGGCCGUCAUUCUCCGAUUGCUGGCUACGGGGGGGGGGCUCUAGGGGGGUGGCUCGAGGCUGCCUGAGUGCUGGGACGAGCUCGGGGUCCCCUUUUAUAGUGCAACGAGGUCGGUUCCGCGGCGGCAGUGGAUAGGGACGCAGCGAACCGCCAUUCUGUAGCUAGGGGCGACGUGGAGGUGGUUGGAGCUGGUCGGCGCACUCCGAUGAACUCCACACUGCUCAAGGGGCAAGCUGGCGCGCGUGUGUGGCUCGGGCGCCGCCGUCCAGGGCAGAGGUUGUCGGGGCGGCGCUGGCGGCAUGCGGUUGUGAUGCUGUGGUGCGCCAGGAGGGGGGCAGGGUGGCGCUGCGGCGAGGGAGGCGGGACGCUGGCUGCGAGUGGAAGGGGCCAGAACGGGUGCGGGGGAGGCGGCAGCGGGACGCGGUGGCUCGGGCGCAUGCACGUGCAAAACGCGCGCUCUAGCCGCGCCCAGAGCACGCACGCGACAUGCUCAACAAAAUGCCAGGGUGACCUAGAGUGCUUGAGCGAGGCUGGCAAAUAACCGGACUAGGUUAGAGUCUGCAAGAAAGUUAGUGGACAAACUGGUUUGUCCAGAGGUGCAAGGUCACAGUGCAAAGGCAAAAAUCAUGUCAAAACUGCCCAUGCACUCAAGGUGUUUGACAAAAUGCCAAUGGCAUCUAGGCAACUCUUGGGGUGGCCAAAUAUUCCAGAUCAAAGUCUAUUUAGAUGUAGGAGAGGAUGGCAAGGUUAGUUGGCCAAAUCUAGAACCUUGUUAGUGUAAGUUUUGCAAAACUCCAGUUCUGGACAGAAGGAAAAGGGUAUAAUAUCAUGUACCAAAAAUGCUCCAAUGAGUCCAACCUCCUGGACUUAAGGGUUUGGUAGGGUGGUCUAGAAUCAGGAGAAAGAAUCAAGGGAAAAAGAGCAAGCAAAAAUAUGGUUUCAAUAAAAAUCACCAAGUUGAACCAGAAUGCAAAUGAGGAUGAUUCACUCAAUUUUUUCAAAGAGCAUCAAUGGGUUUUUGCAUAAAGAUGAAUAAUAUACUCCUAUUAACACCCCAUAAUUUUGGUGGAAGUUUUAAAGAAAUAUUUAAUUAGGUUGUAGUGCAAAAUUGCCCACUUGACCAGAUUUGAAAAUUUGAUGUAGAGCUCAAAAUAUCCAAAGAAUGAUAUAUAUUUUUGCAUAAAAGUGAUUUAAAAACAUCACAUGACAUCCCCAAAUUUUGGUGGGAUUUUUAAAUGAAUUUAUAAAAGGGUUGCAGUUCAAAUGGAACCCUAAAACUUAUGAAAACCCCUUUUAGAGGAAUAAAGCUCAGGAAAAAUAAUUAUAUAAAUAAUCCUACUGAUAAAAGAAUUGUUUUAUUUGAGAGGGUAAAUAAGUCCAAUAAUGUUUGAAUUUUUUUCACUUGGGGUAAAAACCUCAUAAAAAUAAAGAAAAGAAUGGUUCUGAAAUCAAUAGGAAAUCCUGAAAAUAAAAGUUUAAGUUUCCUGGCAAAAUUUUAAUAAAUAAAACAUGGUUAAAUUUUUGGGGUGUCACAACACUACCCCCCUUAAGAAAAAUCUCGUCCUCAAGAUUUGUUAAGAGUUGUUUUCGAAAAUAUCAUUCCUGUUAGUUGAAACCAAAAGGUUUACUCAUAGUACAAACCUUGUGUCGUCAAGGUUGGUUUUUGGCAGCUACGUCCGUGGUUAAAAAUGCAAUCGCACAUCGACAUACUCAUGCAUGGCUACUAUUUAAAAUAGGGCGCACAAGCAACAGUAUUUAAUUACGGCGAUACAGGUUCACACAGUUACAAGGCGAGGACAUGCUAAGACUUGGUACUACUCGAGCAACUCUAGUCUACCUCGUUAAUAUCUAAGCGGGCGUGCCUUGCGGACUUCGAGGCUUCGCCACGGUUUUCACCAUCGGGAUUAGCUGGAGGGGGUUGAGGGGCUGCAGGGUCGGGGUAGCGAUGAUGACCAUUCCGGGGAUUGUUGGCCACAAUCCCGUUGGAAUGUGUUCCCAAAAGGCGACGAAGCACUUCUGGGGCCAUCGAGGUAUUAUGGUCGAUGGCUGGGGCAGACCUCAAGGACUCGAUCGGUUGUCCGAACAGCACGACUGGGCUGUCGGUGCCGGGCUCCUCUUUUCCUCUUGCUGGGGCUCGGCGGGUCAGUUCUCCACGAGCUGCGAUCAGAUCAAGGGUGAUUUGAUCGAACAGUCCCUCUAAUACACAUACCGUACCAGAUGCAAUAAUGCAGGAUCCAUCUCGUGGUCUCCGUUGGCAACUUGGGGUGGUCUACCAUAUCCGUCACGGCUGGGGUAGUAGUAGAACGAGCGGCAAUUGACUCUGGGCGACAAGUGCCGGAGUUGAACUAUAGCCUCUCGAGCAGCUAGUUGGAUGGCUUGUGGCUCAAAGGAAGUUGUCCUUCCGGUGAACCUGUAGGGGCAUUCUGGUGAUAGACCCCUACCGUAGACGUGCACAGUGGCCCAGAAUUGAUGGCUCUCACCGCUCAUGGGUCCUUGGUACACAACAUAUUCUGGGGGCUCUUCUAACGCGAAGGCACGGCGGGUGAGGUUUGCUAGCACGGUCACAAAACCUCCAAGGUUGGUUGCCGUGGUCUCAUUGUGAACAAUUGGUCCUGGCAUUUUAGCUUGGUUUGGGCAGAGGUUGUGAUGUGCUGGGUUGGGGCUAGCGUGCCCUUUUUAUAAAAAAAAGGACGGAGUCUUCCUUCGCACGCUUGCGAAUGAGAUAAUUUUGGUGUCGGUCACUGGCGCGUGAUCGACAGGCUAGGCUGAUAGGUUGGGCACCGACUGCCAAAAAGGUGUUGGUCACUGUGUGGCUAUCUUACACGAGAAGCUUGGCCGGGGUUAGGUUAAGGCCUGGUGGGUUGGUUUACCUAGGUUUUUUUUUGACCUGUCUAAGAUAGGAUUAGCCAAUGGUCAGUCUGGCUUUGAUACCAAGUUUGUCAGGACCGGAUUUUCGGGAUAUUAGUUUCCAGAAAAUUGCCCUUGUGCUCACCAGCCCCAGGAUUACUGUUAGCUGAUGAGGCAACAACUUGAUACAGAAAUUCCAAGCAAAAUACACAAUAUGUAGUACAAGACCUUUCUGGCCUAUGAGUACAACAAAUGGUUUCUAGUGGUUGAUGGCGGAAGCGGUUUGUGGAUCAUCAGCGCCUAUGGGACUCCAAUUCCCACAGGAACAGCUGACCUGAUUAACUCCUAUCUUCGUGAGGCUGCUAUCACCGUUGCUUAGGUUCCGGGGCUGUCAUCGCAACGCUCCUCACCAAGCAAGAAAUCUGGCCAAGACAAUAGCCAGGGACAAGCCAGUGAGUACUUUUGAAUGUACUCGCAAACAUUAUGAACACGGGUAUGAUAUAACAACCAGUAAUCAUACUCUAAAAUAUUCUAUGCUCACAACGUCCGUCAUAAAAAUAAUAUCCCUGAUACAUGCAAGCAGGUUAUUUAUGUAAAACAUGAAUAUUCAAUCAGAGAGUAAAAAUAAAAUGCACCGAGCGGGUGUCUGAAGCGACGCCUCGAAAGGAUAAUAAUAUAGGGCAUGCCUCAGCCGGGCGUCUGCGCGACACCACAUACAUGGCUUAUAAAGUAAAUAAAUAAUGAGCAUGCCACAGUCGGGCGUCUGAGCGACACCACAUAAAGGGCUUAUAAGGUAAACAAUAAGAAUGCCACAGUCGGGCGUCUGAGCGACACCACAUAAAGGGCUUAUAAGGUAAACAAUAAGAAUGCCGCAGUCGGGCGUCUGAGCGACACCACAUAAAGGUCUUAUAAGGUAAACAAUAAGAAUGCCACAGUCGGGCGUCUGAGCGACACCACAUAAAGGGCUUAUAAUAAAACAAUCACAGUGAAUAUCCAGGAGGUAGAACCGUCCCAGGGAUACUCAAUAAUCCCAGUAAUAUGGUGGGUUAGUCCAUAAUAAUAAUAAUCACAAUCAUCAUAAUCAACACAAGUCACAGGUCAUGAUCCAUGUUCUGGUUUAGCAGUUUCUCCUCAGAAGACCGACACUUGACCCAACCCAUACUGUAGUCCUUAACCAUGGACACGUCUAUUCGAAUAGAUUUAACCUCUGCAGAGGGUGUACUCUUUACCCACGAGUAACGGAUUCCUUUAGUCCAUCGGGACUAAUUCCGUCUACGGUCUUUUAAUUGAAAACACACCUGACUUGCACACACCAGCUUAACUUACCGGUGUCUGGAAUCACCCACGACACCUGUCAAGCAAAAACUCUAAGUGUGGAGGCUACAACCUCGCAUAGCAUGGGAUCAAAUUUAUAUCGCGCGCUCUAAGGGGUGCCCCCGCCCCCUCUCGGUCCGAACCGGAAACACCCAUGCCCCCGGACCAGGUGGCCUGCCUACCGGCUGCAGUCGGUAUCUUCCACCAUGACCUCUCUGUACAGGGACUUUCCCGUUUUCCUUUCGGUAGGCGCGAAGGGCAUACGAGGAUGAUCACUAUCACAAGCAUGUCCAUUUCCAACAGCAAGGAAAUCCCCAAUAUGCAUUCAUGCAAAUGAUCGCGUCACCACAUAAAAUAACGAGUUCUCCCUAUUAAGGUGGUGUUAUAAUCAUGUCAACCAACACACAAAAAUAUUACGCCAGGGUUCAGAAUGCUUACCUUCAAGGGUAUGCAAGUGGGGUGUACCUUUUGAAAGUUGUCUUCUUCUUCAAAAACCUAUUUUCGAAAAUAUUCAAAUUAACACAUACUUUAAAAACAGUACAAAAAGUUGCUUGGAAAAUUUUCGAAUAAAUAUGAAAAUAAACUAGACAAUAUUUGGGAAACAACAGAAAAAGAAUCAAGUCAUUUGGAUUUAUAUCUAAAAAGUUAUAGCCUGUCAAACUUUAGUCAACUUUUUGUUUUUAAAAUAAAACUGAAAAAAAAUGUUUCGAAAAGGGUACACGUCAAAGUCGUACUUUGGGAAUACGCCUCCACUUAAAACACGUGGUGGCGGGGCUGGGUCACUAACACUAGGUCCAGCGGCCCCACUGGUCAGGUUUGACUAGUCCCCCGCCUUCUUCCUCCUCUGUCCGAGCCGAGGCGGGGGCUCCGGCGAUCGACGCCGGCGAACGACGGCUCCUCGCGGGGCUCUGAGGGCGGGGAUGGAUCCGCCACUCCCGGGCGGUCCUCCCGAUGGUCGAGAGGGUGGCGGGGACGAAGGGAGUCGCCGGCGGCGAGCCUUGCGGCGGACGGCAGCUUCGGGAGGUUUGGGGGUUUGGGUUAUGGUGCUUCCCGAUCGACGCUGAGAGGGUGGGUGGCUCCGCACGGUUGGGGGAGAAGGAUGGAAGCACGGGAGGGGUUUGGGGGCCUCGGUCUUGGCCGGAUUUCACCGGAGUGUGGCGGCGGCCGAACCUGUCGGGGACGAGGAAGAUGGCCGUCAUUCACCGAUUGCUGGCUACGGGAGGGCUCUAGGGGGGUGGCUCGAGGCUGCCUGAGUGCUGGGACGAGCUCGGGGUCCCCUUUUAUAGUGCAACGAGGUUGGUUCCGCGGCGGCAGUGGAUCGGGACACCGGCGAACCGCCGUUCUGUAGCUAGGGGCGACGUGGAGGUGGUUGGAGCUGGUCGGCGCACUCCGACGAACUCCACACUGCUCAAGGGGCGAGCUGGCGCGCGUGUGUGGCUCGGGCGGCGCUAUCCAGGGCAGAGGUUGUCGGGGCGGCGGUGGCGGCCUGCGGUGGUGAUGUUGUGGUGCGCCAGGAGGGGGGGCCAGGGUGGCUCUGCGGCGAGGGAGGGGUCGGGACGCUGGCUGCGAGUGGAAGGGGCCAGAACGGGUGCGGGGGAGGCGGCAGCGGGACGCGGCGGCUCGGGCGCACGCACGUGCAAAACGCGCGCUCUGGCCGCGCCCAGAGCACGCACGCGACGUGCUCGACAAAAUGCCAGGGUGACCUAGAGUGCUUGAGCGAGGCUGGCAAAUAACCGGACUAGGUUAGAGUCUGCAAGAAAGUUAGUGGACAAACUGGUUUGUCCAGAGGUGCAAGGUCACAGUGCAAAGGCAAAAAUCAUGUCAAAACUGCCCAUGCACUCAAGGUGUUUGACAAAAUGCCAAUGGAAUCUAGGCAACUCUUGGGGUGGCCAAAUAUUCCAGAUCAAAGUCUCUUUAGAUGUAGGAGAGGAUGGCAAGGUUAGUUGGCCAAAUCUAGAAACUUGUUAGUGUAAGUUUUGCAAAAGUCUAGUUCUGGACAGAAGGAAAAGGGUAUAAUAUCAUGUACCAAAAAUUCUCCAAUGAGUCCAACCUCCUGGACUUAAGGGUUUGGUAGGGUGGUCUAGAAUCAGGAGAAAGAAUCAAGGGAAAAAGAGCAAGCAAAAAUAUGGUUGCAAUACAAAUCACCAAGUUGAACCAGAAUGCAAAUGAGGAUGAUUCACUCAAUUUUUUCAAAGAGCAUCAAUGGGUUUUUGCAUAAAGAUGAAUAGUAUACUCCUAUUAACACCCCAUAAUUUUGGCGGAAGUUUUAAAGAAAUAUUUAAUUAGGUUGUAGUGCAAAAUUGCCCACUGGACCAGAUUUGAAAUUUUGAUGUAGAGCUCAAAAUAUCCAAAGAAUGAAAUAUAUUUUUGCAUAAAAGUGAUUUAAAAACAUCACAUGACAUCCCCAAAUUUUGGUGGGAUUUUUAAAUGAAUUUAUAAAAGGGUUGCAGUUCAAAUGGGACCCUAAAACUUAUGAAAAAUCCUUUUAGAGGAAUAAAGCUCAGGAAAAAUAAUUAUAUAAAUAAUCCUACUGAUAAAAGAAUUGUUUUAUUUGAGAGGGUAAAUAAGUACAAUAAUGUUUGAAAAGUUUUCACUUGGGGUAAAAACCUCAUCAAAAUAAAGAAAAGAAUGGUCCUGAAAUCAAUAGGAAAUCCAGAAAAUAAAAGUUUAAGUUUCCUGGCAAAAUUUUAAUAAAUAAAACACGGUUAAAUUUUUGGGGUGUCACAGACAAUCUCUAUGGACUAAUGGUUGCUUUGAGUUAUAUUUGAAAGGUUAUCCAUAGGCAAUGCUUGAAGACCAUAUGUUGGUUUCAAGGUUGAAAGAAGAAUAUUAUUUGUUGACCAAGGUGUUAUUCAUGGAGUUAUCCAAAUAUUGGUCAUGUGAGAGUUGAGUAUAUUGCAAGCAUGUCUUGAAAAUAAGAUUAUUUGAACAUUCAUGUUGCCUUUAAUACAUCAUCUUUAUGAAGAGAGAAGAUAAGAUACAAGGUUGAUCAAGACUAAGUACAAAGAAUGGAUUCAAGUUGAUGAACACACAAAGCAUAGAAGAUGUACCGAGUCGAAUCAAGUGAUCUCACGAUAUGGUAAGCAUUGUCCAUUAUGCUUUGUGUAACCCAUGAUCUAUUUGUGUGGUGUUCCUAUGUGGGGCUAGUUUUUUUCCAUGGGCUUACAUCAAGAGGAAGAUAUCAGAUAACCCAUGGAGGAUGACAUCAUGUGGUGAUCGUCAUCAAUGUUGUGUUGUGCAAGUUCAAGUGGAGCAUCACAAAGAGAUCACAUGCUUGAAGCUUGCCAUCCAUUCUGGUGAUAAUGGAGUUGUGAAGAUGUGCCAAAGAGAGGCCAACCCAUAGUGGAGUAUGGGGGAGCAAUAUAUUGGUCUUCAUCGAGCUAGCGCAAUCAGAAAGGUGGUCCAACAUGAGGAGGACGAGAUCAUCAUCGUCUAGCUCAAGUGGACUAUGCGCAAGGCAAAGGUUUGACCUUAAUAGGUUUUCUGUUUUACCGAUCUGAUGGUGUUAGUUGGGAGACCGGGUUGAAGGAUUGAUUGACGUACUAUCAAGGGGGCUCUCGAGUGAGUAGCUUGAGCGUAUCAUUCAUAGAGAGCUCAAACCAUUGCAUCAUUGGCAUCAUCUUUCUUGGUUCUUGUUUGGCUUUUCCCUAUGUGAGUUUUGGAGCUUGUGGUCAUCUCCGUGGCAAGUUCAAGUUGAUCAAAAAUGGAUUUCAUAUGCAGCAUGUAUUGUGUUUUCGAUGUAGGAGUUUUUGCCAGUUCUUCACUCAUGUAUAUUUCACACCUCUAUUGUGAUUUGACAACUCUUGUAGUUACCUUUCUAUCAAGUUUCAAUUCAUCAAUAUCAAAGUGGUGGUACCGCUUGCUACUGGUGGUAGUACUGCUUAUGCAGUACUUUCGCUGGUUGGUGCCGUGGCUACCUCUGGUUGUGUUUAGUCUUCUGUAUGCCUCUGGCAAUUCGCGGUAGUGCCACUGCUUCCAACGGUAGUACCGCUUGAUGCGGUUCUUCCGCUCUGGCGCCGCUUGAACUACUGCUGGUUUGUCUGUUAGCCUAUUGACAAUUAGCGACAGUAUCGCUUGUUGUAGCCGGUGGGACCGCUCCGGCAGAACUAGGAUGCGAGUACCACUGUGGUACUCGAUGAGCCUUAGUGAAACUGCCGCUCUUAGCAGUAGUACCGCUUGAGCAUGACCAGUGCAUAAUGGUCUUAUUCUUGCCCCCACUAUAAAAGGGGGUCUUCUUCACCAUUGCUCCUAGCAACUUUGAGCAAGCUUUCUCCUCCAUUAUUGACCUCUAAAAGCUUUGCUUUAUCUCUAUCCCUCCCAUGGUUCUUGCAUCAUUUUGAGGGGAAAGAGAUAGGAUAUCUAGAUUCUAUAUCUACAUUUCCACCAAUCCAUCUUACGUCUAAGUGAGGGGAACCCUUUGGAUCUAAAUCUUCGAGUUCUUUUGUGUUCUCCUUGUUCUUCCUCACAUAUUCCACCAUAGCUUUCGUUAAUUUGUGGGAUUUGAGAGAUGUGGGACUUGAGCACUUAGUGUGUUCUUGCCAUUACAUUAGUUGCAUCGGUUUGAGUUCUCCAUGAUGAUACAUGGAAGUGAAAGUCGAGAAGCUUACUAGUACCUUUUGGGUAUUUGGGUGUCCUAGAUGAUUGGUGGUGUCUCAAAGCUCAAUCAUUGUUGUGUAAAGCUUCGAGAAAGCUUUGGGGUCUCUAAUACGUCCAUUUUAUAUCAUGUUUUCCUACUACUAUUUCUAAUGCUUUAUAGCUAUAUUUCACCUUUGAUGCAAUUCCAAUGCCUUUUCUCUCUUAAUUGCCAGUUAUAUCACAAGAGGAAGAUUGCCGACAGCUGGAAUUCUGGACCUGAAAAGUGCUACAACAGAGAUAGCUAUUCUCUUGAGCUCCAAAUGACCUAAAUUUUUCCAAAGAUUUGUUUUGAAAUAUAUAAAAAAUACUAGAAGCAAAAUGCACUGAAGGGGACGCACUAGGGAGCUACAAGCUCGGGGGCGCGCCCACCCCCUGGGGUGCACCUGGUGAGCUUAUGAGUCCCACAGAAGGUCUAUGUGGCCCAUCGUCUCCUAUAUGAAGCCAUUUUCCCUAUAAAAAUAAUCAAGAGAAGACUUUUGGAACGAAGCGCCACCGUCUCGAGGCGGAACCUGGGCAGGAGCAAUUUUGCUCUGUGGCAAAGCGAUUCCACCGGGGAAACUUCCCUCUGGGAGGGGGAAAUCAAAGCCAUCAUCAUCAUCAACGUUCCUUUCAUCAUGGGAGGACUCAUCUCCGUCAACAUCUUCACUAGCACCAUCUCACUUCAAACCCUAGUUCAUCUCUUGUAUUCAAUCUUUGUCUCAAACCUCAGAGUGGUACAUGUGGGUUGCUAGUAGUGUUGAUUACAUCUUGUAGUUGAUUUACUUGGUGGAAGAUCAUAUCUUUAGAUUUUUAAUCAUAUAUUAUUCUCCUCUUAUCAUGAACAUGAAUAUGAUGUGUGAGUAGUUUCUUUUAUUCUUGAGGAAACAGGAGAAGUCUUGUUGUAAGUAAUCAUGUGAAGUUGGUUUUCAUUCAAUAUUUUGAUGAUGUGCUAUGUUGUUCUUCCUCUAGUGGUGUCAUGUGAAUGUCGACUACAUGUCACAUUAUCAUGUUUGAGCCUAGGGGAAGGCAUUGUGGGAUUAGUCAGUAGAUGAUGGGUUGCUAGAGUGAUAGAAGCUUAAAUCCUAGUUUAUGCGCUAUUUCGUAAGGGGCUGAUUUGGAUCCAUAUGUUUCAUGCUAUGGUUGGAUUUAUCUUAAUUCUUCUUUCGUAGUUGUGGAUGCUUGCGAGAGGGGAUAAGCAUAUCUAGAUUAAGGAUAUGGAUGUACUCAUAUAGAAAUUUAAUGGUAUUAAUUUUAUAAUUUGUUUGGACGUGUGUUAGUGGUUCUAAAAAGGAUGUGAAUACACACAUAUAGCAAAAAUAUAUACAUUAGCGGUUCCAAAGAAUUACGUUAAGGUACUCAUAUAUGAAUAUAUGGCUAGCAGUCCAUACCGUAUGAAACUAGUAUGCUUAAAGAUUAUCUAUGUCAACUCUUACUAAACAUUACAAGGUCCAAUUCUAGUCAAACAGCAAUGCUUCUAUAUCAAUUGCUAAUAAAUUUGGAUGUAUGGAUAAGGAUGAACUUUAACUAUCAUCCAUGUAUUCCAAAAAGUAUAAUUGACACCAAUGUUUCUUGUACACGAUUCUACAAAUCUCUCUAGCAAGUGGUCCCAACAUGCCAAUACAAACAUGAAACCUAGACAAUUUUUAGGGUCCUUGGGGUGAUACUUCUAUAUAAGGGGGGCACAUCUCCGCAUAUCUCCCACUAACAUGUCGUUAGCCAAUGGUUUUGGUAAAUCUCUAGCAUUUCGUAGAUUCUUGUUGCUCUUGUUUAUAGUAGUAAGUUUCAUUUUCUUCAUAGGAUUUAGUAUGCCAAGGAGGGAGAGGCGGUCAGGUGUCGCAUACAUCCAUGAUGACAAAGAGCGUGAUGGCUCCUUCUUCAAGAGGCGCAGUGGUUUGUUCAAGAGCGCUGCUAACCUCAAUGCCCUCACCGGUGCUAGGGUUGCUAUCAUCCUAGAGGGGAGCAAUGUUGUUAUGCUCUUUCAGACAAACCAUCCUACAAUGGAUUUCUUGGGAUGGAUGCUUAAUUGGGUAAUGAUGGUACUAAGUAGACAUUCUUCUAUAGGAAAUGGUGAAUGUGUUUAUGCGCAAUAGGAAUCUUCUUCCAGCGAGCAAGAUGUUGAUGCUUGGGUGCAAUCUGAAGGACUUAGUUAGAAGCUAGUUAGACUUACAUUUUAGUUUUAUAUCAGAAUGAAAGCUAGUUACAUUACCACCUGGAAAAUGUUACCAUUUGGACAUUUUACUAAGCCCCUUCCAGGCAAUAAUAUACAUGUUCAGUGUUGUAGGUCUUGGAACAUGGAAGUUUUUUUUCUAUGUGCCGCUUCAUAUUUUCAUUAUAAUCAAAUAUUUUAUUUUCUUUGUGAGAUGUUAUGUAUC
RNAcentral lists this long non-coding RNA (26040 nucleotides) under Triticum aestivum (bread wheat). Its description in RNAcentral is "long non-coding RNA (TAES_LNC002490)". Lineage: Eukaryota; Viridiplantae; Streptophyta; Magnoliopsida; Poales; Poaceae. The record is from RNAcentral.